Molecule: non-coding RNA, 364 nt
Organism: Cinara cedri
Lineage: Eukaryota; Metazoa; Arthropoda; Insecta; Hemiptera; Aphididae
Source: the annotation of a GenBank genome assembly
UAUUAUUAUCAUUAAAUUAUCCGAGAAAUAGAAAAACGGGACCCGAAAAGUAAGAAACCGGUGCCACGACAGGGAAUAGGAUGAACCCAAUGAAAAAGGACUCGAAAAAUAAAAUUGCUGGCGAAUAAACAGUAAAAUGGCCAAAAAAUAGUGGCUGAUAAGAUGUUAGACGGAGACGAGAUGGUAUUGUGGACAACGGUCCGCACGACCUAUAUUAAGCCAACGAAAAAAAAUAAAGACAUAAUAUACUACGAUGUCAUUGUGUCAAUAUAAUAUUUUAAUGUGAACGCGCCAAAUCGUAAAACUUAUGUCUGACGUUUUAGACUCCACUGUAGCGUAAGUUGUGUGGUAGAGAUAGGUGUAC